RNAcentral lists this ribosomal RNA (508 nucleotides) under uncultured Staphylococcus sp. RNAcentral describes it as "partial 16S ribosomal RNA". Lineage: Bacteria; Bacillati; Bacillota; Bacilli; Caryophanales; Staphylococcaceae. The record is from RNAcentral.
CACGUAGUUAGCCGUGGCUUUCUGAUUAGGUACCGUCAAGACGUGCAUAGUUACUUACACAUUUGUUCUUCCCUAAUAACAGAGUUUUACGAUCCGAAGACCUUAAUCACUCACGCGGCGUUGCUCCGUCAGGCUUUCGCCCAUUGCGGAAGAUUCCCUACUGCUGCCUCCCGUAGGAGUCUGGACCGUGUCUCAGUUCCAGUGUGGCCGAUCACCCUCUCAGGUCGGCUACGCAUCGUUGCCUUGGUAAGCCGUUACCUUACCAACUAGCUAAUGCGGCGCGGAUCCAUCUAUAAGUGACAGCAAAACCGUCUUUCACUAUUGAACCAUGCGGUUCAAUAUAUUAUCCGGUAUUAGCUCCGGUUUCCCGAAGUUAUCCCAGUCUUAUAGGUAGGUUAUCCACGUGUUACUCACCCGUCCGCCGCUAACGUCAGAGGAGCAAGCUCCUCGUCUGUUCGCUCGACUUGCAUGUAUUAGGCACGCCGCCAGCGUUCAUCCUGAGCCAGGA